AGGUGCCUAAACAGAGUGGCAUGUGAACCAUUCGAAACGAGGAUUCUGAACGGAGAAAAGUAUCCAUCAGCAGGCGAGCAGGAACAAUUGGCCAAUGACUUGGUACAAUUAUUUCCACAGUUGCAGUUUAAUUCCAAAAGACCUGAAGGAGCACCAGAUGGGUGGAUCUUUUUUUGGAGAAAAAACGGAAUGGAGAAAGGCAAGCACAGUGGUCUGAUAUAUCACCGUGUGCGCAACAUAAUUAAAACGCUUCCGCCAAAAAUGCAUCUAUACCAAAGGACAACUGUACCGAAAAAUACUCAUGUUCCUAAUGAACUGGUCGAAAAAGCCGAGAAUCUACGUACGGUGGAAGCAACCAAAAACGAGAAAAAAAGGAUUGCGGUCGAAAUGGAAGCAUGCAACCCGUUACUCAAAUUGAUGCUGAGCGAA
Long non-coding RNA from Aedes aegypti (yellow fever mosquito), 429 nucleotides. RefSeq lists it as uncharacterized. The transcript is spliced from 3 exons. NCBI's taxonomy places the organism in Eukaryota, Metazoa, Arthropoda, Insecta, Diptera, Culicidae. The record is from RefSeq and is a predicted model, not a curated record.